GGGUUGUGAGGUUAAGCGACUAAGCGUACACGGUGGAUGCCCUGGCAGUCAGAGGCGAUGAAGGGCGUGCUAAUCUGCGAUAAGCGCCGGUAAGGUGAUAUGAACCGUUAUAACCGGCGAUACCCGAAUGGGGAAACCCAGUGUGACUCGUCACACUAUCAUUAACUGAAUCCAUAGGUUAAUGAGGCGAACCGGGGGAACUGAAACAUCUAAGUACCCCGAGGAAAAGAAAUCAACCGAGAUUCCCCCAGUAGCGGCGAGCGAACGGGGAGGAGCCCAGAGCCUGAAUCAGCAUGUGUGUUAGUGGAAGCGUCUGGAAAGGCGCGCGAUACAGGGUGACAGCCCCGUACACAAAAGCGCAUGUGCUGUGAGCUCGAUGAGUAGGGCGGGACACGUGGUAUCCUGUCUGAAUAUGGGGGGACCAUCCUCCAAGGCUAAAUACUCCUGACUGACCGAUAGUGAACCAGUACCGUGAGGGAAAGGCGAAAAGAACCCCGGCGAGGGGAGUGAAAAAGAACCUGAAACCGUGUACGUACAAGCAGUGGGAGCACAGGUUUACCUGUGUGACUGCGUACCUUUUGUAUAAUGGGUCAGCGACUUAUAUUCUGUAGCAAGGUUAACCGAAUAGGGGAGCCGGAGGGAAACCGAGUCUUAACCGGGCGUUAAGUUGCAGGGUAUAGACCCGAAACCCGGUGAUCUAGCCAUGGGCAGGUUGAAGGUUGGGUAACACUAACUGGAGGACCGAACCGACUAAUGUUGAAAAAUUAGCGGAUGACCUGUGGCUGGGGGUGAAAGGCCAAUCAAACCGGGAGAUAGCUGGUUCUCCCCGAAAGCUAUUUAGGUAGCGCCUCGUGAAUUCAUCUCCGGGGGUAGAGCACUGUUUCGGCUAGGGGGCCAUCCCGGCUUACCAACCCGAUGCAAACUGCGAAUACCGGAGAAUGUUAUCACGGGAGACACACGGCGGGUGCUAACGUCCGUCGUGAAGAGGGAAACAACCCAGACCGCCAGCUAAGGUCCCAAAGUCAUGGUUAAGUGGGAAACGAUGUGGGAAGGCCCAGACAGCCAGGAUGUUGGCUUAGAAGCAGCCAUCAUUUAAAGAAAGCGUAAUAGCUCACUGGUCGAGUCGGCCUGCGCGGAAGAUGUAACGG
RNAcentral lists this ribosomal RNA (1148 nucleotides) under Salmonella enterica subsp. enterica. RNAcentral's name for it is "bacterial LSU rRNA". It matches the Rfam family "Bacterial large subunit ribosomal RNA", at positions 1 to 1178 of the family's 2925-position model. Lineage: Bacteria; Pseudomonadati; Pseudomonadota; Gammaproteobacteria; Enterobacterales; Enterobacteriaceae. The record is from RNAcentral.